UACGUAGGGGACGAGCGUUGUCCGGAAUUACUGGGCGUAAAGGGCGCGCAGGCUGUGCUGCAAGUCAGCUGUUAAAUGUCUGGGCUUAACCCGGGCAUGCGGUUGAGACUGCGGUGCUGGAGUGCUGUAGAGGCAAGUGGAAUUCCCAGUGUAGCGGUGAAAUGCGUAGAUAUUGGGAAGAACACCGGUGGCGAAGGCGACUUGCUGGGCCGGUUCUGACACUGAUGCUCGAAAGCCAGGGGAGCGAACGGG
This 252-nucleotide ribosomal RNA is filed under the name uncultured microorganism. RNAcentral describes it as "partial small subunit ribosomal RNA". It matches the Rfam family "Bacterial small subunit ribosomal RNA", at positions 524 to 776 of the family's 1533-position model. The record is from RNAcentral.